Molecule: unclassified non-coding RNA, 328 nt
Filed under: soil metagenome
Description: partial contains 5.8S ribosomal RNA, internal transcribed spacer 2, and large subunit ribosomal RNA
Rfam family: 5.8S ribosomal RNA (bases 1-120)
Source: RNAcentral
GAUGAAGAACGCAGCGAAAUGCGAUAAGUAAUGUGAAUUGCAGAAUUCAGUGAAUCAUCGAAUCUUUGAACGCACAUUGCGCCCCUUGGUAUUCCGAGGGGCAUGCCUGUUCGAGCGUCAUUAUAACCCCUCAAGCUCAGCUUGGUGUUGGGGCCUGCUGCACUGGCAGCCCUUAAAAUCAGUGGCGGCGCCAUCUGGCUCUAAGCGUAGUAAUUCUUCUCGCUAUGGAGUCCUGGUGGAUGCUUGCCAUCAACCCCCAAUUUUUCUAUGGUUGACCUCGGAUCAGGUAGGGAUACCCGCUGAACUUAAGCAAUCAAUAAGCGGAGGA